GGCUUCUUACGGCCGCCUCCCGAGUUGUUUUCCGCUGCUUGCUGCUUCUUCUUCAGUUCUUCUUCUUCUUCUUCUUCUUUUAUUUUAUUUUAAUGUAUAAAGAAGAUGAAGAAGAAGAACGCAAAUCCUCAUUCUGCGUGUCCGUGUCUUGGAACAAUAAGAGACAGUGAAAGGACGGACGAUGGCUUUGAAGUUAAGGGAUCGCACACGGGGAAGUCUUAGGAACAUAGAGAACGCGUGGAAGGCUGAGCCGAAGCACCGGGCCGAACAGAAGAAGUUGAUUCAAGAUGAGCGUGAGCGUUCUGAGUUUCGUCUUCUCCAGGAGCAAGCUGUUCUUGUCACAACAAGCCUCACUCCUCCAAUGACGCUCAGAGGAAAGUCCAUUCUUAUCCUCUCCUUUUGAUUCGCAAAUCUCUAAACUUCCUUCUCUCUCUCUCUCUCUCUCUCUCUCUCUCUCUCUCUCUCUCUCUUUGAUGAAUAAUACUCUUUCAAUGAAUCGCUUCCUUCUCUUCUUUUUCUCUAUCUAUGUAAUUGGUCAUGCAUGCCCAUUUUGUAAUGUAGAAAUGUCUGUUAGGUUUUGUGAAAAUACGUUAUUAAAUAUGAAAUUGAUGGUGAAUAGCUAGUUCUUUUCACUUUUAAACUUGAAUCUCAAGUUAGUAGACGCCUUUGGUACCAUGGACGCGUCCUUGGCUCAUGACCUGGAAACAUCAACAUUUGUACUUUUAUUUUUUUAAUAUUAGCUGAAACAUUUCUAUUCACAUGCUGAGGGGAAAAGAAGAUCAAUAUCAUUGGAGAAUUCCAAAUUUUUUAUAGUAAAUAAUCAGUUUUGUGCGCCUGCUGAACCAGUGAUUAUUAUUUUGUAGGUUGAAACAAAGAGAUGGAGAAGAACCGUUAUAGAAAGGAACACCGGAAGAAGCACGGUCAUAGUAAAGGAAAGCAUCACAAGCAGUCAUUAUUGAAACCAUAAUAGGAUUCUGAAAAUGUCAGUGCUGAAGGAGAACGAAGGAGAAAGACUAGUGAUCACAAGCAUUCAUCUUCUAAAAAACAAUCUGACUCAGAAAAUGUCAGAGUUGAAUAUGGGAAAAGGUGAGAAAAAGUAGCGAUAGCAGGAGUCCAAAGCAUGAUAACCAUAAUUACAAAGCGCGUGUGGGUUCAGAUGGCGAAUCAAGUGAAUUAGAACCAAAUAGGAAGGAAUAACUACAGGGGUUGAAAAUACGGAAAGCAAACUCCCCGUGGGUUCUCGCACCAAGAGCUGUGGAAGAAGAUGUUCAAGAUGCGCACAGGAAGAAUCAUGGCAAGUCAAUGAAUGAGAGAUAUUUGUUGGAGGGCAGCGCAGAUUUUGCCCCUGAUAGAAAGGAUAGGAGCACGAAGAGUCCUCGUUAGGGAAGAUCUUAUGCUUCUGCUAAGUCAGUUUGCCAUGAUUCAAUCUUUAAGUGUCGGAAUGUUGCCUCUAAACUGACAGAAGAAGAGCGAGCUGGUAAGCUAUGGGAGAUGCAAGUCGAUGUUGAGUUGCAUGAAGAGAAAAGAUGGAAGCAUUUGAGGAAGGCAGAGGAAGAUGGUGCAUGAGAAGCUACUUGUGCGUGCAUGCUGGGUGGGAGGAACUUACUAGACGCUGCUCAUAAAAGUGUGUAUGGAAAUGAGUAGGGGGGAGCUCAACCAUUAAGGAUAGCGCACACCUUAUUCACAAGGAAAGUCUGAAGUGGGUGAUGGCAAUGCUUUUUGCCGGUGAAGCACUCCUGACUUGGUGGUUUAUUUUUGCCUUUUUAAUAGUUCCAGGUGUGUUCCUUACCUCCCCAUGCAUGUAUGCAUAUUCUGUAAUACGGACCUCUCACCUUUAUUAAACCUUCUUGUAAAACCAAGUGGUUGAUUCAAAUAGUCAUUCAGUUCAAUAUACAGUUCGUUGAAACUCUCAACGGCAUGUCAUCUGAUUGAUACUA
Molecule: long non-coding RNA, 1937 nt
Organism: Populus nigra (black poplar)
Lineage: Eukaryota; Viridiplantae; Streptophyta; Magnoliopsida; Malpighiales; Salicaceae
Exons: 2
Source: RefSeq, a predicted model, not a curated record